This 1711-nucleotide ribosomal RNA is filed under the name Pyrococcus sp. MZ4. RNAcentral describes it as "bacterial SSU rRNA". The stretch from base 1 to 1417 matches the Rfam family "Archaeal small subunit ribosomal RNA". Lineage: Archaea; Methanobacteriati; Methanobacteriota; Thermococci; Thermococcales; Thermococcaceae. The record is from RNAcentral.
CGCCACCGGCGGACGGCUCAGUAACACGUCGGUAACCUACCCUCGGGAGGGGGAUAACCCCGGGAAACUGGGGCUAAUCCCCCAUAGGCCUGGGGUACUGGAAGGUCCCCAGGCCGAAAGGGGACCGUUAGGUCCCGCCCGAGGAUGGGCCGGCGGCCGAUUAGGUAGUUGGUGGGGUAACGGCCCACCAAGCCGAAGAUCGGUACGGGCCGUGAGAGCGGGAGCCCGGAGAUGGACACUGAGACACGGGUCCAGGCCCUACGGGGCGCAGCAGGCGCGAAACCUCCGCAAUGCGGGAAACCGCGACGGGGGGACCCCCAGUGCCGUGCCUCUGGCACGGCUUUUCCGGAGUGUAAAAAGCUCCGGGAAUAAGGGCUGGGCAAGGCCGGUGGCAGCCGCCGCGGUAAUACCGGCGGCCCGAGUGGUGGCCACUAUUAUUGGGCCUAAAGCGGCCGUAGCCGGGCCCGUAAGUCCCUGGCGAAAUCCCACGGCUCAACCGUGGGGCUCGCUGGGGAUACUGCGGGCCUUGGGACCGGGAGAGGCCGGGGGUACCCCCGGGGUAGGGGUGAAAUCCUAUAAUCCCGGGGGGACCGCCAGUGGCGAAGGCGCCCGGCUGGAACGGGUCCGACGGUGAGGGCCGAAGGCCAGGGGAGCGAACCGGAUUAGAUACCCGGGUAGUCCUGGCUGUAAAGGAUGCGGGCUAGGUGUCGGGCGAGCUUCGAGCUCGCCCGGUGCCGUAGGGAAGCCGUUAAGCCCGCCGCCUGGGGAGUACGGCCGCAAGGCUGAAACUUAAAGGAAUUGGCGGGGGAGCACUACAAGGGGUGGAGCGUGCGGUUCAAUUGGAUUCAACGCCGGGAACCUUACCGGGGGCGACGGCAGGAUGAAGGCCAGGCUGAAGGUCUUGCCGGACGCGCCGAGAGGAGGUGCAUGGCCGCCGUCAGCUCGUACCGUGAGGCGUCCACUUAAGUGUGGUAACGAGCGAGACCCGCGCCCCCAGUUGCCAGUCCCUCCCGCUUGGGAGGGAGGCACUCUGGGGGGACUGCCGGCGAUAAGCCGGAGGAAGGGGCGGGCGACGGUAGGUCAGUAUGCCCCGAAACCCCCGGGCUACACGCGCGCUACAAUGGGCGGGACAAUGGGACCCGACCCCGAAAGGGGAAGGGAAUCCCCUAAACCCGCCCUCAGUUCGGAUCGCGGGCUGCAACUCGCCCGCGUGAAGCUGGAAUCCCUAGUACCCGCGCGUCAUCAUCGCGCGGCGAAUACGUCCCUGCUCCUUGCACACACCGCCCGUCACUCCACCCGAGCGGGGCCCGGGUGAGGCCCGAUCUCCUUCGGGAGGUCGGGUCGAGCCCGGGCUCCGUGAGGGGGGAGAAGUCGUAACAAGGUAGCCGUAGGGGAACCUACGGCUCGAUCACCUCCUAGGGGAACCUACGGCUCGAUCACCUCCUAUCGCCGGAAACCCCGUCCGGGGGAACUAAAGGGGUGCCGGGCCUGCCUCUUCUAAUUGGUGGGCCGGUAGCUCAGCCUGGUAUGAGCGCCGCCCUUGCAAGGCGGAGGCCCCGGGUUCAAAUCCCGGCCGGUCCACCACGAAGAGAUGCACGUCCCGAGCUAAUGCUCGGGGCGGAAGGGCCCUAGGCCCCCUAACAGGGGGCGACGAUGAGGGCCGUGCAUAGGCGGGUGGCCCAAGAAGUGCCUGGCCCCUCCGGUAGGGGGG